Molecule: ribosomal RNA, 371 nt
Filed under: uncultured Bacteroidota bacterium
Lineage: Bacteria; Pseudomonadati; Bacteroidota
Description: bacterial SSU rRNA
Rfam family: Bacterial small subunit ribosomal RNA
Source: RNAcentral
UAAUACGGAGGGUCCAAGCGUUAUCCGGAAUCAUUGGGUUUAAAGGGUCCGUAGGCGGGCUAUUAAGUCAGAGGUGAAAGUUUGCAGCUCAACUGUAAAAUUGCCUUUGAAACUGGUAGUCUUGAAUUAUUAUGAAGUGGUUAGAAUAAGUAGUGUAGCGGUGAAAUGCAUAGAUAUUACUUAGAAUACCAAUUGCGAAGGCAGAUCACUAAUAAUAUAUUGACGCUGAGGGACGAAAGCGUGGGGAGCGAACAGGAUUAGAUACCCUGGUAGUCCACGCCGUAAACGAUGGAUACUAGCUGUUCGGAUUUAUCUGAGUGGCUAAGCGAAAGUGAUAAGUAUCCCACCUGGGGAGUACGUUCGCAAGAAUG